UAACGACUCUCGGCAACGGAUAUCUCGGCUCUCGCAUCGAUGAAGAACGUAGCGAACUGCGAUACUUGGUGUGAAUUGCAGAAUCCCGUGAACCAUCGAGUCUUUGAACGCAAGUUGCGCCCGAAGCCGUUUGGCCGAGGGCACGUUUGCCUGGGUGUCACACA
Molecule: ribosomal RNA, 164 nt
Filed under: Gaudium confertum
Lineage: Eukaryota; Viridiplantae; Streptophyta; Magnoliopsida; Myrtales; Myrtaceae
Description: Leptospermum confertum 5.8S ribosomal RNA
Rfam family: 5.8S ribosomal RNA
About the family: 5.8S ribosomal RNA (5.8S rRNA) is a component of the large subunit of the eukaryotic ribosome. It is transcribed by RNA polymerase I as part of the 45S precursor that also contains 18S and 28S rRNA.
Source: RNAcentral